This 747-nucleotide ribosomal RNA is filed under the name uncultured bacterium. RNAcentral describes it as "bacterial SSU rRNA". It matches the Rfam family "Bacterial small subunit ribosomal RNA", at positions 47 to 761 of the family's 1533-position model. The record is from RNAcentral.
CCUAACACAUGCAAGUCGAGCGCAGGAAGCAAGUUGAUCCCCUUCGGGGGUGACGCUUGUGGAAUGAGCGGCGGACGGGUGAGUAACACGUGGGCAACCUGCCUGUAAGACUGGGAUAACCCCGGGAAACCGGGGCUAAUACCGGAUAAUACUUUCUUUUGCAUAAAGGAAAGUUGAAAGGCGGCUUCGGCUGUCACUUACAGAUGGGCCCGCGGCGCAUUAGCUAGUUGGUGAGGUAACGGCUCACCAAGGCGACGAUGCGUAGCCGACCUGAGAGGGUGAUCGGCCACACUGGGACUGAGACACGGCCCAGACUCCUACGGGAGGCAGCAGUAGGGAAUCUUCCGCAAUGGACGAAAGUCUGACGGAGCAACGCCGCGUGAGUGAUGAAGGUUUUCGGAUCGUAAAACUCUGUUGUUAGGGAAGAACAAGUUGGGUAGUAACUGACCCAACCUUGACGGUACCUAACCAGAAAGCCACGGCUAACUACGUGCCAGCAGCCGCGGUAAUACGUAAGUGGCAAGCGUUGUCCGGAAUUAUUGGGCGUAAAGCGCUCGCAGGCGGUCCUUUAAGUCUGAUGUGAAAUCUCGCGGCUCAACCGCGAACGGUCAUUGGAAACUGGAGGACUUGAGUACAGAAGAGGAGAGUGGAAUUCCACGUGUAGCGGUGAAAUGCGUAGAGAUGUGGAGGAACACCAGUGGCGAAGGCGACUCUCUGGUCUGUAACCGACGCUGAGGAGCGAAAGCG